This 95-nucleotide ribosomal RNA is filed under the name uncultured bacterium. Its description in RNAcentral is "partial 16S ribosomal RNA". It matches the Rfam family "Bacterial small subunit ribosomal RNA", at positions 392 to 508 of the family's 1533-position model. The record is from RNAcentral.
CAACGCCGCGUGGAGGAUGAAGUCCUUGGACGUAAACUCCUUUCGACCGGAAGAUGAUGACGGUACCGGUGGAAGAAGCCCGGCUAACUUCGUGC